CCCACGCACGCGCGCACAACUUUUGCAGCCUCCACGACAAGUGCUUUUGUGUGUGUGUGUGCGCGCGCGCGCGCGAUGUUAAAAGCGCGGAAAGAGUGAAAAGAAGAAAAAGGAAAAUGACUUCCAAGAGAUCGGGCAUGGAUGACUUCCUCGCCGGAUGGGUCGGAGGGGCAUCCAGCGUGGUGGUGGGACAUCCGCUGGACACCGUCAAGACGCGACUGCAGGCGGGCCAAGGCUACAAAAACAUGACCGACUGCAUUGUCGCCAUCUACAGGAAGGAGACGGCGGCGGGCUUCUUCAAGGGGAUGUCGUUCCCGCUGGCCACCGUCACGGCGUACAACUCGCUGGUCUUCGGCUUCUUCAGCAACGCCCAGCGCUUCAUCGGCCGGCGCCGCCACGGCGACGAGCGCCACCCGCCGGGCCUGGCGGACGUGGCGGCGGCCAGCGUGCUGACGGGGGCGGCGUCGGUGAGCCUGGGCGCCCCCGUGGACCUGGUGAAGAUCCGGCUGCAGAUGCAGACCCACGGCGCCGCGCCGGCGGACGGUUUCCAGCUGGUGUCCCACAAGAUGGCGGCGGCGGCGGCGGCCCCGGCGGGCGCGCGCUCCCUGCACGUGUCCAACGGGGGCGGCGAGCUGUACCGCGGUCCGCUGCACUGCGUGAGCAGCAUCGUGCGGCGCGAGGGCCUCCCGGGCCUGUACCGCGGGGGGGCCGCCAUGCUGCUCAGGGACGUGCCCGGCUACGCCCUCUACUUCGUGCCCUACGCCGUCUUCUGCGACCUCCUGAAGGCCGACGGCGCCUCGCAGCCUCACCCUUGCUCCAUUUGGCUGGCCGGCGGACUCGCAGGUUCCAUUUCCUGGGUGACGGCCACGCCCGCCGACGUGGUGAAGAGCCGCCUGCAGGCCGACGCCCGCCUGCGCCGGAAGUACAACGGCAUCCUCCACUGCAUCCGGGAAAGCUACAAGACGGAAGGCGCGCAGGUGAGGACGCCCCCUGCCGGCCGCCGCCGGCAUUACGUUCGAUGGGCCUGCGGACGCUUUGAAUUUCCGUGACCUUUGGACCCAACCCUCAGCCGAGCGCCGGUUUUAAACAACGAGUGCAAACAGCAUUUGAUAGCAGCUACUAAACAAAUCCACUUGUGUUCUUCCGCGGCGUGUCGGUGAACGCCAUCCGAGGCUUCCCCAUGAGCGCCACCAUGUUCCUGGCCUACGAGCUCUCGCUGCAGUUCUUCCAGAAGUUUUAGGGACAAGUCGUUACCGUGGCGACGACUCUUCACCC
This is an RNA transcript of Syngnathoides biaculeatus (alligator pipefish), 1275 nucleotides long. It is a transcript of the gene named solute carrier family 25 member 48, with no coding region annotated. The record is from RefSeq and is a predicted model, not a curated record. The transcript has 7 exons. NCBI's taxonomy places the organism in Eukaryota, Metazoa, Chordata, Actinopteri, Syngnathiformes, Syngnathidae.